UAAGAAUUAGUUAAUAUCUAUAACAUAAAUAUGUCAUAUUUAAAUAAUUAAACUUUUGUAAUAUUCUUAU
This 70-nucleotide transfer RNA is filed under the name Notidobia ciliaris. Its description in RNAcentral is "tRNA-Asp". Lineage: Eukaryota; Metazoa; Arthropoda; Insecta; Trichoptera; Sericostomatidae. The record is from RNAcentral.